RNAcentral lists this ribosomal RNA (301 nucleotides) under uncultured bacterium. RNAcentral describes it as "partial 16S ribosomal RNA". It matches the Rfam family "Bacterial small subunit ribosomal RNA", at positions 509 to 808 of the family's 1533-position model. The record is from RNAcentral.
CAGCAGCCGCGUAAUACAGAGGGUGCGAGCGUUAAUCGGAUUUACUGGGCGUAAAGCGUGCGUAGGCGGCUUCUUAAGUCGGAUGUGAAAUCCCUGAGCUUAACUUAGGAAUUGCAUUCGAUACUGGGAAGCUAGAGUAUGGGAGAGGAUGGUAGAAUUCCAGGUGUAGCGGUGAAAUGCGUAGAGAUCUGGAGGAAUACCGAUGGCGAAGGCAGCCAUCUGGCCUAAUACUGACGCUGAGGUACGAAAGCAUGGGGAGCAAACAGGAUUAGAUACCCCAGUAGUCCCUGUCUCUUAUACA